UGUAUGACUCUCGACAAUGGAUAUCUUGGCUCUUGCAUCGAUGAAGAGCGCAGCGAAAUGCGAUACGUGGUGUGAAUUGCAGAAUCCCGUGAAUCAUCGAAUCUUUGAACGCAAGUUGCGCCCGAGGCCAAUUGGUUGAGGGCACGCCUGCCUGGGCGUCAAGCA
Molecule: ribosomal RNA, 165 nt
Filed under: Prescottia cordifolia
Lineage: Eukaryota; Viridiplantae; Streptophyta; Magnoliopsida; Asparagales; Orchidaceae
Description: 5.8S ribosomal RNA
Rfam family: 5.8S ribosomal RNA
About the family: 5.8S ribosomal RNA (5.8S rRNA) is a component of the large subunit of the eukaryotic ribosome. It is transcribed by RNA polymerase I as part of the 45S precursor that also contains 18S and 28S rRNA.
Source: RNAcentral